CAGAGGGGGCAAGCGUUGUUCGGAAUUACUGGGCGUAAAGGGCGCGUAGGCGGCCUUCUAAGUCGAACGUGAAAUCCCCGGGCUCAACCCGGGAACUGCGUCCGAUACUGGAAGGCUUGAAUCCGGGAGAGGGAUGUGGAAUUCCAGGUGUAGCGGUGAAAUGCGUAGAUAUCUGGAGGAACACCGGUGGCGAAGGCGACAUCCUGGACCGGUAUUGACGCUGAGGCGCGAAAGCCAGGGGAGCAAACGGGAUUAGAUACCCCGGUAGUCCUGGCCCUAAACGAUGAAUGCUUGGUGUGGCGGGUAUCGAUCCCUGCCGUGCCGAAGCUAACGCAUUAAGCAUUCCGCCUGGGGAGUACGGUCGCAAGGCUG
This 372-nucleotide ribosomal RNA is filed under the name uncultured organism. RNAcentral's name for it is "bacterial SSU rRNA". It matches the Rfam family "Bacterial small subunit ribosomal RNA", at positions 526 to 896 of the family's 1533-position model. The record is from RNAcentral.